AGAGUUUGAUCAUGGCUCAGAUUGAACGCUGGCGGCAUGCCUUACACAUGCAAGUCGAACGGUAACGGGUCCUUCGGGAUGCCGACGAGUGGCGAACGGGUGAGUAAUAUAUCGGAGCGUGCCCAGUAGUGGGGGAUAACUGCUCGAAAGAGCAGCUAAUACCGCAUACGACCUGAGGGUGAAAGGGGGGGAUCGCAAGACCUCUCGCUAUUGGAGCGGCCGAUAUCAGAUUAGCUAGUUGGUGGGGUAAAGGCCUACCAAGGCAACGAUCUGUAGUUGGUCUGAGAGGACGACCAGCCACACUGGGACUGAGACACGGCCCAGACUCCUACGGGAGGCAGCAGUGGGGAAUUUUGGACAAUGGGCGCAAGCCUGAUCCAGCAAUGCCGCGUGCAGGAAGAAGGCCUUCGGGUUGUAAACUGCUUUUGUCAGGGAAGAAAUCUUCUGGGCUAAUACCCCGGGAGGAUGACGGUACCUGAAGAAUAAGCACCGGCUAACUACGUGCCAGUAGCCGCGGUAAUACGUAGGGUGCAAGCGUUAAUCGGAAUUACUGGGCGUAAAGCGUGCGCAGGCGGUUGUGUAAGACAGGUGUGAAAUCCCCGGGCUUAACCUGGGAAUUGCAUUUGUGACUGCACGACUAGAGUGUGUCAGAGGGGGGUGGAAUUCCACGUGUAGCAGUGAAAUGCGUAGAUAUGUGGAGG
This 701-nucleotide ribosomal RNA is filed under the name uncultured beta proteobacterium. Its description in RNAcentral is "bacterial SSU rRNA". It matches the Rfam family "Bacterial small subunit ribosomal RNA", at positions 8 to 704 of the family's 1533-position model. Lineage: Bacteria; Pseudomonadati; Pseudomonadota; Betaproteobacteria. The record is from RNAcentral.